RNAcentral lists this ribosomal RNA (253 nucleotides) under uncultured bacterium. Its description in RNAcentral is "partial 16S ribosomal RNA". It matches the Rfam family "Bacterial small subunit ribosomal RNA", at positions 524 to 776 of the family's 1533-position model. The record is from RNAcentral.
UACGGAGGGUGCUAGCGUUGUUCGGAAUUAUUGGGCGUAAAGCGCGUGUAGGCGGUUGGGUAAGUCAGAUGUGAAAGCCUUCCGCUCAACGGAAGAAGUGCAUUUGAAACUGCUCGGCUAGAGUACGGGAGAGGAGAGUGGAAUUCCCGGUGUAGAGGUGAAAUUCGUAGAUAUCGGGAGGAACACCAGUGGCGAAGGCGGCUCUCUGGUCCGAUACUGACGCUGAGACGCGAAAGCGUGGGGAGCAAACAGG